Long non-coding RNA from Glycine soja, 705 nucleotides. RefSeq lists it as uncharacterized. The transcript is spliced from 2 exons. The record is from RefSeq and is a predicted model, not a curated record. Lineage: Eukaryota; Viridiplantae; Streptophyta; Magnoliopsida; Fabales; Fabaceae.
UUUCGGUUAAACCGGUCGUUGAUAGGACGAGAAUAAAGAAGAUUUUCAAUAACUGUGGUCAUAUUUAGUGGUAUAAAAUGAAAACCUUAGUGUGAAGAACACUCUCACAUUGUCAUAACCUGUAGAAUCCACCCGUACCUGCCUUGCCCUUACCUGUAGAAUCCACUCUCGUGUUGUGCUGCUGUGCUCUCGUUAGCAUUGUCCCGGCACCCCCAGGCGUGAACCUCCACCACUGUAGAAGCAAUUUCCCGUGAAAGUAAAUGCAGCUCAACAGGAAUAUUAAUGGUAGGCAUCACUAAGAAUUAAAUGGAGAAACCAUAAUAUGACAAGGAUUAUAAGAAAUUCAUUUUUACUAUAGUACACGUCUCCAUAGACUGUAGAGUGUAGAUAGAACAAUAAUGGUGGUAACCUUUCAUCCAAAAUGGCCAUAAGUGACAAGGAAUAAGGUGUAGGAAGAAACAUGCAAAGUUUUAUACAAUGUUAAAAUUCUGCAUGUAUUUUUUUUGUUUGUGGUUUAAUUUUCCUCUGUUGCUUAGUAUACAAAUUAAAAUUUGGGAUUGCUAUGUGUAUCUUUUUACUAGAAUCCGUGGAAAAGGUGCCUUUUUGAAUGGGAAUCCCAUAAAAGGUGUGAGGUGUGUCAUCUGUUCUUUAUUGUUUGAAUGAUUAUUGUUAAUUUAAAUGUUAUGCUUAUGCAUUCAAAUUUCA